UGGGGAAUCUUGCACAAUGGGCGAAAGCCUGAUGCAGCGACGCCGCGUGCGGGAUGAAGGCCUUCGGGUUGUAAACCGCUUUCAGCAGGGACGAGGCCGCAAGGUGACGGUACCUGCAGAAGAAGCUCCGGCUAACUACGUGCCAGCAGCCGCGGUAAUACGUAGGGGGCAAGCGUUAUUCGGGUUCAAUGGGGGUAAAGCGCGCGUAGGCGGUCUGUUAGGUCAGGAGUUAAAUCUGGGGGCUCAACCCCUAUACGCUCCUGAUACCGGCAGGCUUGAGUCUGGUAGGGGAAGGCGGAAUUCCAAGUGUAGCGGUGAAAUGCGCAGAUAUUUGGAAGAACACCGGUGGCGAAGGCGGCCUUCUGGGCCACGACUGACGCUGAGGCGCGAAAGCUAGGGGAGCGAACAGG
Molecule: ribosomal RNA, 410 nt
Filed under: Verrucomicrobiota bacterium
Lineage: Bacteria; Pseudomonadati; Verrucomicrobiota
Description: Verrucomicrobia bacterium partial 16S ribosomal RNA
Rfam family: Bacterial small subunit ribosomal RNA
Source: RNAcentral